UACGUAGGGGGCAAGCGUUAUCCGGAUUUACUGGGUGUCAAGGGAGCGUAGACGGUGUGGCAAGUCUGAUGUGAAAGGCAUGGGCUCAACCCCGGGACUGCAUUGGAAACUGUCAAUCUGGAGUACCGGAGAGGUAAGCGGAAUUCCUAGUGUAGCGGUGAAAUGCGUAGAUAUUAGGAGGAACACCAGUGGCGAAGGCGGCUUACUGGACGGUAACUGACGUUGAGGCUCGAAAGCGUGGGGAGCAAACAGG
Molecule: ribosomal RNA, 253 nt
Filed under: Blautia luti
Lineage: Bacteria; Bacillati; Bacillota; Clostridia; Lachnospirales; Lachnospiraceae
Description: partial 16S ribosomal RNA
Rfam family: Bacterial small subunit ribosomal RNA
Source: RNAcentral